Molecule: long non-coding RNA, 14063 nt
Organism: Columba livia (rock pigeon)
Lineage: Eukaryota; Metazoa; Chordata; Aves; Columbiformes; Columbidae
Exons: 5
Source: RefSeq, a predicted model, not a curated record
UAAGCAGCUAUUUAGACACCUUUUCCCUCAGGUGCAAACCCAUGCAAGUUGGAAUGAAAGGUUCUUUCUAUCAAGUUAAGCAGGAGUGAGGAGUCUCUGUUUUGACACCGCCUGAAGAAUAAAUACUUGCACAGUCUCAGGACCAGCCUCAGCAUUGGACUAGCACUGUCUUUCUAGUUACAUCUAGUGGCUUUUGGCCCAUUCUGUACAAUCAGUAAAUGAACUGAAUAUGUAGUUUGCAAGAGUUUUGUUCAGCAACCGCACCAGUGCCAGCUGCUUCACUAGUAAUAACAUAGCCCAUCCUUCAGAAUCAGGCAAAACAGAAAAUGUAAUUAACUUUAUUUGAACAUUCUAUCUGAGCACAUUCGGCACCCUUUUCAUUUCACUGCCACAUCAGAAGAGACACUCUGACCAACAUCACAUCCCCUGAAGACACAGAAAAAAAGAGAAUAAAUAUUAUUAUUUCUGUUUGAAUACUCAGCCUAUGUAAAUGCAUUAUAUACUUUGCUUGGCUUCAUCAUAAUAGAAAAAGCAAACAAGACAAACUUGUAUUUUUUGCUGCACACACAUUCCUUUUGUCUUUUUUCUCCAGCUUUUGCAUAGUGCAUAUUGCAAGCUUUUCUUUUUAGUUAUACGCUUCUAGCUAUUACCUUAGAACAAAAAUUCAGACACAUCCAGCACAAAAACACAUGAAAUGGCUCAUCAUAGCGCUGCCUCGAGGUUUCAGAAUCAUAUGUGCUGGAAAGGAAGAGACCUGUUAAUUUAUAUUUUUGCAUACGUCCCUGCAACCUAAUCUUUUCUACUUAUUCUGAAAACCUCAGGUAAAACAGUAUUUUACAAAUGAUUUAAUGAAAAACAGGAUCAGUUCUCUACAGGCGAUAAACUGGUUUCUGGGGAAGGGAAAGUCCUCUGUUUUCUUGUGCAGAUACUUGAUGUGAGGCAUUAGAAUAACCAUAAACCACCAGGUUGUGCUGUUGCCCUUAAGCAACACACAUCACCACAGAGCUACGUUACUGUGCUCAUCCCAUGGCUGUUCUUCGGCUGGAAAGACCCUAAAAUCCCAGAAAACCAGAAAGAAAACAAGCCUCAGACUCAUUUUCCUUUUGAUUUUACAGCUCAGGAUUUUCCACAGGACUUUGUCUCACUUUGGAAACCACUGGCAGUGUUUGCUGGCUGUGGAAUUCAGGUAUAAAAAUAAAUAACCCAUCUGCACAGACUCAGGAUGCAAACUGCAAAGCUGAUCCAGGAGUUGAUGUUGCACUCAGUACAGUUUCCAGUAAAUGAUCUAUUAAUGUUUAUCACUGCAGCUUAUUUUCACUAUUGCGUCUCCCCCCACCUACACAGACUGUUUCAGUUUUUCAGAAUUAUUUACUGCUUCAAAAAUCAGGAGUGUACUGAGGAGAGAGCUCAGAGGAUGCCUUGAAUAAGCAGAGAUUGAUGAAGAUGCUGGACACCAGGCCAAGAACCAACUACCAAGUAGCCAAACUACUUACAUCCACAAUUGCUCUUUACCCUGGUGUCAGAUAAGCUUCAGGUGAAAGAGCCAGGAACAUCACAUGACUCACAAGAAAAGACAGAGGAUAAACACUUUUUCUGAACUAGCCCUACAAUGCAUUGAACUUCGAGGGAAGGUCUGAAGAAGAGGUUGCUGUGGCAGAUCAUCCUCAUGAAAGAUAACGGCACACAGGAGAGAAAGGACGAGAGUUAAAUAUUUCUUUAUUUGCUUGGAUACCUGGGAAGAAGCACAGAGAAGGCAGAACUCGCUCCUCGCUCUGCAGUGAUGUAUUGACAGAACUUGGGCUAAAGCGUGGUAGCUCCAGCUCCAUACCAAUUAGCCUCAGCAAAUAUUCGGGUCAAGGUGACCUGUCAGAGGAGUUCACAAAGGAGUCUCUGCAGAAGCCGCGCGUUACCUUGUACAGCACUUGCUCGCUCUGCUGCAUUUAUCGUGUAUGUGCUGGAAAAGCCACUCGAACGCUGUGUAACAAGCUCAGCUGAAUGCUUCUCUGCCAAGGAUCAAGCUACACCGCACAGCAGGAUGAAUUCUGGCUCUUAGCAAAACAAAGUGCGGCAGCACCGUCUGAUUGCUCUUCUGCAAAAAGGACCACUUGAGAGCACAACGCUCUCUCCACUGCUGUGACUCAGGACCAGCACAACCAGGUUAUUACUUACUGUUUCUUCUUCAGUGGCCACUUGAAAUUUCUGUUUUUGAAUUGUAACAGCCAGAGGUUAAGAUUAUCCACACUCACUCCUAACUUCUGUCCAUCAUCUUCCUUUCAACACAGUAAUACAUAUUUUUGUUACUACAUCCAAUACAGGCAAAAAUUAUACUUGUUUUUCAAUUAUCCACUCUUUUUUUGUCCAAGCUUAGCCAGGUUUGCUCAUAGGGACAUUCUAGGCACACAUCCAAGCAGGAAGCUGUAGGCUUCAAAAUGUUUGGGCCAUAUGCGGACACUGGGGGUUGGGAUGCACAGGAGUCACUGGGAUGCAGCAUCUGCAUCCUACAGCCCUCGUUGAGGAAUUAUUUGUAUUGUGUGGCCACUCAGGUGUCAAUGAUGUUGAAGAUGUCCCUGCUCAUUGCAGGGAAGUUGGACUAGCUGACCUUUGGAGGUCCCUUCCAACCCAAACUAUUCUCUGAUGCUAUAAUUCUACAAAGUUCAAGACGGGAGGAUCCCAGGUUUGGGGUAUUACAUGUAGAGCUUGUUAGAUAUUUAAAGUUUCAGACACGAGAUAUCAAAGUGACUUUUUCUUUCUUGGUGGUGUUCUAAACAGCCCUAGAAAAGUGAAUUUCAAUCCUCAUCCUCCUCUCCUUCCACAGACACAAUUAUUUUACUUCUGUGAAUCUGGUUUGUUCAAAGUUGGCGGCAGGGGGAGGUAUUACCUGUUAUAUUGCACUUCUCUAUUCUGUUCAUCAGAAAUGUUAUACAGAAUAUAAAUAAGUCUAAUGAUAAAAAGACAUUGUAAAACAAACAAAUAUACAGCACCUGCUUUUAAAUUACUUUUGCUCCUAGUUUCUGACACAAAUAUUGGUCAGAAUGCAAUGCUCUUGCAUAAAUCACUUCCAUUUCAAUGAAUCCAUGGGUGCCAACAGGAAUAUAUUUACACCUUAGCUUUUUCUAUCAGCUUCUAGGCUGCACAUAUCUCAAAACAACAGCUAAGCAAAAAAUAUUUUAGGAAGCUACAAAAUGAUAGAGAUUUUCUUGGCCAAGAGAGAGAACUUGAAGGAUGAGAUACUUGAACUCUAACAUCUCUCGGCAUGGCCGCAUGGCAACAGUAAUGCUGAAUUGACAAAAAUUACUUACAUUCAGUUCAGCAAUCCAAACUAUUUUGGUUCCAAUUAAGUAAAAGAGAAAAGGUAGAAAACUGGACAAAAUGCAUCGAGGAAAAAAUACUGAUUAUCUCAACUAAAAAGGCCAGAAUGAGUAGGCUUAACUACACAAGAGCAGAACAAAACAAAACACCAAACCCAACCAACCAGCCCUGGUCUUUGAUCUCUCAUUUUCUCUGUUGAAAAUAUAUAUAUAUAUAUAAUAAUUUUAUAAAAUGGAGCAACUGUUUUUAUGCCUUCAUUAUAUUAGCUGAUUGACUGUGCCAGGAGAGUGGUGGAACCAUUAAGUUGAAACACAGUGAAAAUUAGGUUCUUGGUCUGUAUUACAAAUUCCUUUGAGUGUGCUGCUGGAGCCGUCUGGCAGCAGCCACCCAAGAUAUUUUGUCAUGUUAGAACAGCCUAAUCCACUUCAGAAUUGAAUGUCUUUUCUGUUUGCUCUUCACUUCAUUGAUGCAGUUACUACCCAACAGAAAGUGGCACAAGGCCUCCGGAAGAGAUGAUGUGACUCAAGGUGUGGUCUCAGCGCUUCUUCAGCCUCAAUAGUUCUCUUGAAGGACAAAGGGAAAGAAAAUGACGAAACAUAUACCCGGAUUUUUCAAUCAAUCUAUCUGUAGCACAUAUUAAAAAACCCCACAUUUUGUUAGUAAUUAGCUAGUGGUCCUUCAAGAUAAUUCUCAUCCAGCUGCCACUAUUACAUUCCUGUUGUCUACUAUGGAAAUUUGAUUUAAUGAAAAUACACUGCUUGAAAAUAAGUGUAAGGAACUAGAAGGGGACUGCCAUUGAAAGCACCAGUUCCUCUCUGCACCUGCUUUUUGCUGUGUGUUUCAGUAUUGAUUUUUUUUGUCUUAUUGACAUUUUGGGAAUAUAGGAUAGCAUUCAGCUACACUAUAUUGUGUCACAGUGUGUGCAAUAAAUAAAUUCAGGCAUAAAUAUGAGAGAUAUGAGCAGAUGCAUAUACUAAAAUAACAAUAUGUAGCUCCUUUCUGAUACUGUGUACCCAUUGAACAAAGUGGGGUUUUUUUAAAUGGAGAAACCUAUAAUUAUUUUCAAUUUUACUCUAAGGCCUUGACCAAAUCUUGAUCUUAAUCUUUUUGUUUGUUUACUACAGUUCAAUGAGAAAAGUUUUUAAUAGGACUAGUUAGGAAAUAGUUGGUCCUGUUUUCAAUUAACACUUCAAAACAGCAGCCUCAUGUUAACUUCAUAAUUAAAAAAUGCGGAGUUUUCUACUAAAACAUUCCAACUAAAUGUCUUAAUCAGUUGUGUUGGUUGCUAAUUUUGUGUUCCACUUGUGAAUGAUUCACAGCCUUAAAGCUUCAAAGCAGAAUGCAGAACCUGGUCAUCUGAAGCACAUGGUUAAAGGAACACAGAAGUUUACUUUUUUAUUUUUAUUGUUAUUAUUCUAGGUUUCUAUUGUUAUUUAAAUUUGAUUUUCCACACUUUACUGUAGGGUAUUGAUUUUGUUGCAUACCAUAAUCUUUCAUUUUUGCAGCAUUUCUAGCUGAUGUGAUGCAAGACAUUUGAUCCAUGUAGCUUACAAAUAUUUAUUGAUGCUUGCAUUGGAAAUGAAAGUCCAGAGUGGUUUCUGUGGCAGGAAUAGCAUUUUUAUUGCUUUAUUUAAUCUCCCGAAGAAGCUGUUUGCUGCUAUUCUACCACUUUUAUUCUCCGAGUACAUCUCAACAGAGGUGAGGUGCAGUGAGAGGUCUAAGGGGAUCAAUAACCACACACCCACAGACUUUCAUUUCUAGACCGUUGUUGGAAAACUGGCUUUUGACCAAACCCAUGGCAGUUUGACAGCUAUUUGGCCAUUUAGAAACUGAAUUUGUGGCCUCCAUCCAGUUGCUAGCACAAGGAGGUAUCUGCAUUCAAAUAUUUAAAUUAAAUUAAUACCUUUAUCUGGAAAUCUCGGCAGAGCUGUCAGGAUUGGAUGUCAUGGAGAUUUGCCUCAGGAUGCACAGCAGUGCCCUGCUAGUACUUACCUGGGUCUUGCUGGGCUUCACAGAUAAAUUUCCAAAUAUUUCUAAGUCUUUUAGGGAUGUGUAUCUCCCAAAAAAAUCUUUCCAUCUGUCUUUUACAGAGAAGCACGACAGCGAUCACAGCUGGAGCAGGGACCAAAACAUCAGCUUCUCACUGUACAACUCAUUUAGCUUUUUUCAGCCUUAAUCCCCUAGCUCUAAAAUUCAGAAGAGAUAGUAGCGCUGUGGAUAACGUCAGUAUCUCACUACACUGAUACAAUAUACGGUGUUUCUCAUCUCAGUACCUUUCGCACCUCGAAAAUCCCCUCUGAUUUCCCAGGCUGGUGUAUUGAAUAGAACAUUUCACCUGUCAGCAUUCCAGCUCAUGCCUCGAGAGCAUCAACCCCCCCACGCCUCUGUUGGCACCUUCUCUUAAUUCUCGAACUAAAACAUUAUUUUCCAUACCGUGUGCAAGAAUCCACACCAAAUUUUAUUUAAUUAAACAUUGAUAGCAUACUAAUUUAACGGUGUGGUUGCAGCAACGGUCCUGGCAAUGAGCCAGUUCCCUCAUUGGAAUAAACCACGCAGCCUCCGGCUUCAUGGUUUAUUCAUUUGGGGACUGUGUUACAGCCUCAUAAAACAGCGCGAUAGUACUAUUAUCACUUAAUUAUACAGCAAGCUUUUUCAGACUUCAGUGUCUGCCUUUCUACAUCAGCCACAGAACCCCAGAAUGUGCAAGAAAUACAAAUUGGUCUGUUCAAAUGUGCAUAAAUGUAUCUCAGAGAGCUGUUUUGCCAGUAUUUGGAGAAUUAACAAUAUAUUAUACUCAAAUGUGAUAAAUUACUACCCGAGAACAAACCAACGAAUAUAUUCCUGAUAGAAUUAAUUCUAACAGCUAAUUCUGAGUCAUCACCUGUAAUUCCUUACAUUAAAAAAAAUCCCAGCAACAGAAAUGUGCGGCUAAUCUGAGUAAAGAAUAUUCACUGGGAAACAACAGCAACAGAGAAAGAGAGACAAAGAAAUGCUGAAAUUUAAACUACAUAAUCAUUAUCACUAAUUGUUAGUAUCUGCAUUAGGUAUUUCUGGAGGUAAUUUCAAAAAUAAAAAUAUCUAAAUGUCACACAUAGCCACAAUCUAUCCCAGAAGAUCAAGGUUCCUGGUAUUUUCUCUAUUUGAUGACUAAUGGACUUCUUUCUGUGUUGACUCUCUUGUUAAAGUGAGGAAAUAUUGUUAAAAAACCAGCCAAGAUAAAAGCUAAACCAAAAUAAUAUUAAUAUUUCCUAAAUCCUGGUUAUUUUCAGUAAGUUUAAGCCACAAUUUCACAUAAACUAAACAAAUUUAAAACAUAGGAUCACUUAUUUCAUAUCAUAUUUCUAUAGCUGUUGCCAUUUAUUAAGUAUAAUCACCUUUUUUUUAAUACUCAUACUGAUUUAAUUAAUACUCAAAAUGAAAUUUGAGUUAGGUUCAUAUCCAAAUGAAAGGCUAUUUUCACAGGCUAUUAAAAUACAGGGGUAUUAGCUAAUCCGUAUCUGUCUGCAGUUUGACAGAAUUGUUAGAAAUGCUGAAUGUUUAAUUUCCAUCGAAACAGGUUUGGAAAUGAGAACAUUUGACUUAUGUGACUAAACAAAGAUUCACGCACUUAAAAGUUUUAGACGACUUGCCCAGCCCCUUAGGUUUAAUGACCUCAUUAAACCCAUCCAGUUCUUUCAGGUCUCUCCUUUUUUCCUCACUAUUCGCUAUUUAAACCCCAGUUAUUCAUCUCCUGUUGUAGCACAACCAGCUGCCCAAAGUCCCUCCUCCUGAUAAAAGUGGUUUUUAGAAAUUACAUAUACAAGGUGACACUGGAACAACUUUUUAAUGCAAUAUCUCGCUCUUUUUUGGAGGUUUGUUCAACAUCAGCGUCUCAAAUAUGAAAGACGACAAGUAUGUGAGGAAUGGAAAUACCGUGCUGAUUCUGUAAUUUAAGGCUUUGCCAUUCUUCCUGUUGAUAUUGAUAUAUUUAAAAAAAUCUAGUUGGAAAACUGAGUGGUUUAGAGUUUGUCAUUUUUCAUGUGAAAAGGAACAAAACUGAACUUGAUUACUAAAAUUAUUAAGUUAUAUGCCUAUACUUUAUAGGCUUUUUUUUUCUUUUACAACUACUUAUUCAAAACCCAAAAAUGUAAAAUACAUUUGAAUUAGUUAUGUAGAAGGGGAGAAUAAAAUUUCAUACUCUCCUUGGAACAUCUAAUGAGUUUAAUUUAUGACCAGUACCCUUUAUAGUUAUUAAAACAGUAAUUAAAAUUAUUUAAGCAUAGCAUACCAUUAGAACUUCUGAUAGUUCUCAAUAAUGAUGAGUUCCUAAAUACUUUGAAUGAUUUGACUUAGUUGUUUUCUCAGAUGACGGAGCACAUGGGAGUAAAGCUCCAGUUUGGAUUUCAUUUUAAUUGGCUCUUAUAAGACACCUGCAAAUGUCACAGUGAGGUAAAAUGGGACAUCUACUUCAGAUAUGACUUUUGCCUGGCAAAGAAAUACUUAUUUGAACACAUGGCCCUUUAUUUUUGUAUUUGAUUGUGAAGUGUUUUUGUACAUGAAGACUACAAACAAAACCUUUACCUAUUUAAAACUUACAUUAAUAGUGAUAAAUGACACUGAGUUAAAAGUCAUCUUGAAGAAAAUAUAAGGCCAAAAGUAUUUGACACAUUUUUGUUUCCCAGAAUACACAGAAACCUCUUGGUGCAACGUAACUCAUACUUUUGUUUACUCAACUGCUUGCCAAAUAAUUGCAUUAUUUAUAUUGUAUUAACUUCUCUAAUGAUGUGCACACCAUUUAAACGUAAUGGCUAGAACAUAAAAUAAUGCUAUUUAUGUGCAAUUAGGUGUCUACUUAGCAUUUAAAUACUGUCUUCAAGUGGAUUAAAAAAAAAAACCACUCUAUUCUUUUGAGACAAGCAGGUCUUGGCGAGCAGGAGAGAGAGUAAGUGGUGGUGUCCCACCAAAGACAAUGAAAAUGAAGUUCUCUUGCCCCUGCUGAUAAGAAAAGGAUGUAAAGAUUGAAUCAUUUGUGUCUCCUUAAGCAGAAAUUUACUCCUGAGAUACCAGAGAUACCAUAAGAACUGCGUAAACUUCAGUAAACCUUGAACAAUUAGUGCUCUGUAAAUCAAUCUUUCUCUUUAUCACCUGCUGUCAUUCAGAUCCCAGUUUUCUUAUUCAUUCACAGCUGACAAAUAAAGACAAAAUACUGGGACCCUCCACUAGGAUCUGUGACUUAUCCAGGAAUAACUGCAAAGCAAAUUCCCCCCGUUCCCACCAGUCCCUGGCGGAUUCCCCAUCCUUGCUGUGAUAUGGGACAGGUGCUAUCAGGUCCUGACAACUGCACUUCCAGCCCAGAAAAAAAUCAUCAAAGGAACUCCCCAAAGUAAAUCCAGAGAUACAGCUGUCUUGGAAUGUGUCUCCUUUCCUAAUUUGUUUUAUUUCUGCUUAUCUAUGUAAUAUAUCCAUCAUUUCUAUAUAGGUGGUAGUAACACGAAGCUAUUUUGCGUAGAGCAAAAUAUUUAUGACCCCUGCUGCGUGAUGCAGAGUAGAGGAGUACAGGCCAGCAGGGGUGGCAAAAAAAAGGGACUAUAAGGUGCUUCUCAAGCAGUAAAUUCUGGCACAGAGAGGAGCUUCAGGCCGCUGAGGAAGGAGCACGGUGCACAGCACUGCGAUACACCAGCAUCGUGCAGCCUUGGUCUGUUAAGCAGGGAGAGGAUCCAGCCUCGUCCGUGCCCUGCUAUGAAAUCCAGGGCAAGAGGCUUUGAAGGCAAUUGCUGAUACUGUAGCCAGCUGCUUUUUCACAAUAGAAAAUGUAAAAAUAAAAACGCUGAACUACAAACUUCAGCAGAGGAGUAAAGUUCAGCUGCUGCAUAUUCAUAGCCCUUCUCUGAGUAAGCCUUCCAUCGACACAUACCCUUCCUGCAUACCAAAUGCUAAUGCAUAUUUAUAUAUUCAUAAAGCAUACCAAAUAUUUCAGCAUUCAUGAUUAUUUACUAUGCACAGGUAUGCAGUCAAAAAUCAGGUGGCAUCUAAUUUCCCCAUACUGUAAAUUUGUCUCCAGACUGUAUUAUUAUGCUCUGUGCACCUGCAGAAUCAUAAGGUAUUUCACCGCUGAGGAUUUUAUCUUCAAUUAUUCCUCAGCCUCCAUACUGCAGCUCUUACAGCAUUAUGCAACACACAGCCAAAUUUAUCUCCAGGUACAUAUUAUCUAAGCUUAUAUGCCUAUAAGCAUAAAUAGCCUAUCAUAAUGCUAAUGCCGGUAUUAGAAUAAAGGCAGGAAUCGCAGCUCACAAGAUACAAGGAGGCUUGUGUUGCGGUUUCUUUUUGUUUUACACCAGCAAACAGUGCAGAUUCUUUGAAUCUUCCUGAAGAACUUGGAAAGGGAGUUACUGGUCCUCAAAUAAACCAGUGCCAAUAGCACACUUGGCAGAAAUUCUGAAACAUCUCCUAAUUUCAUCUUUCUACAAAAAUGGCCAUUUGGUUGGGAGUGAAACAGCCCAUUCUACUCACUACUGUGAUUUUUUUUUCUCUCUUCUAUCCUUUGCAGAACUAAAUGUAGAAACAUAAAUGCACAAAGUGCUUAAUUUUUAUGCUUUAUUUAAAGAAACUAAGAGGUAUAAAAAUAACUGAGAAUGAUUAAAAGUUAUUCUCUUGUGCAGUUCUGACAAUUGAGUUCUUGUCACACAUCACUCACUGUACUAGUCUAAUUUAAAAAUCAAAACCAUAGAAAUAAGUAUUGUUCUAUUCUUCGGAUGUUUACCGUCAUGUCUGAAUCCAAUUCUAACAAACUACCAUAAAUAAAUAUGGCUUUUUUCAGCAGUAGGAUGAAUAUGUCAUGCUUCCUAGAUUGAAUUAAUAUCCUAGGCAAAUUCUAACUUGAUUAUUUAUUCCCACGAUGGAAAAUAAUUAUGGCAUUUGUUGCCAUCUACAACAGGAGGAUCUUUCUUACCUACUGUAUUUGAGAAUUUAUUAAUAUUUAAAAAGAGAAAUUCAGGCUGUGAAACAAGAUAUUCAGCAACAAAAAGAUAAACUGAAUUAUUUCACUUUCCAGAUAAGACCAGCAGUAGCAUUGGUGCAUUAUAGAAAGGCAUGUGUUUUCUUUUAGAGGGGUAUACGCAUUUCUGAUGAGAAAAUUACUUACAGAUAAAAAGCCACAAAGGGAAAAAAACAAUGCAUAAUAAGAAAAUAUGUAGACGGGCAUGGAGACAGAGGAACCUAAUCUCAACACAAUCAUUUCUGGAAGAAAUAGAUGCUGUCAAGGCUGAAUACUCCAUAUAAAUCUUACCACUGAGGAGAAUAGAUUAAAAAGAUGUGUGGAAGAUACAUAUGUACCCAGAUACAUUUGAACAUAUCUCCUUUAAGAUUAAAGUGAAAAUACAAACACAUUCCAUUGUACUCGCUGAAGUUUUGUGACUAAUUCGAGACUAAAAAAGAAUAUAAUGCUAAAUUACAGUCUUACAGUUUGAAUAUAUAAUCUUCUCUUCUUAUCCACUGAUAGUCUAAAUAACUCCUUUCUAUUAAUCCUAUCCAGACAGCAGUUAAGACCUUCUCCUGUAAGCUGUGAUAAGAUGCUUCUGUUAUUUAUUUCACAGUUAUAUAUCAGAUUUAAUCUUCAAUUCCCUAAGAUAAAAACCUUUUGUUUAUUAUAAGCAUUGGCAAACCCAUUGCUGUAGAGAUUUGAAGGGAUGCAUGCAUUCCCUUUCAUCUGUAAUUGGAAUACUUAUUUGCCUCAUGUUUUAGCUGGGAAAUAAAAUAUUAAUGUACGUAAGGAAUAAAAUAUAUGCUUAAUAACAUUUUCUAUUUACUGCUAUUUUUUUAUUGUAUAGGAAUUAGUUAUCAUUGUGGUGGUAUCUUUUUUCCAUAGCUCGCCAGGAUACUUUAUUCAUGAGUUAUCAUUACUUCGUCAGGUAACAAAUGACAUUAUAUUUUAAUAAUGAAUGUAAUGAUAUUUAAAUCAUGAUUGUAACACUUGGACCACAUGAGAUGUGUGUUACAAAGGUGCUACGAUGCAAGCCAGCAAAAUAGUCUAUCAUCUCCCCAAAACAGCAUUUAAAAGCAAACUUUGCUGAAGUAAGGCCCUCUCUAAAGUAUUUACAGUCCUUUUAUAUAAAGACCUCACUCACUUAGCUCAAACAUCAUCAGACUUUUUUGAUACCCAAAUUUCUGUAAUUCCAAAGUUCUCUCUGCCCAGUGACAGGUAUUACAGCUGUUUUUUUUUUUAGUUAAGUAAAAACUGUUCAAAACGAAGACAGUUGGGGAAACGGUAUCUACAGAAGAAAUAGAAGCCAGACCACUGCUAUAAAUGUGUACUGAAGAAAACAGCUCCUUCUAUUUGCACCAUGUAAGGACCCAGCAUUUUGUAUUCUGGCAAGACAUCAAAAAAUUUCAUUCCUGUGAAUCGUCUACAACCUGAAAGAGAGAUGUCUCAGAAACAUGUGCCUGCUUCCAAAUAUUCACGUCUCAUUCUUGUAUAAAUAAAACUUCAAGUAAAAGAGAAGUUGUAUCGUGUAUGCAUAUUCAAAGUAAAUAUAUCUCUGGAAAAAGCUUUAGAAAAGCAAAACUAGUCAAACAGACACUCCAUAAUUUGUUGCAAGAGUUAACCUUUUAUUUAGGAUUAUGGGCUUAGACCUACUGCCAUUACUCACAUGAAUAACUUCCCUUAAGUGAGUAGUACAACUGCAUUGCAAGGGGUUUUCACUAAGGAAAAAGCAUUUGGGCUGAAACUUAACUGUAAGAAACAUGUUUGUUUAAUUUAAGAACUGUUUGUGUAAGGAAAGAAUGGCAAAUAAAUUUCAGUUAAAGUCAAUUCUGUUAAAACCUUGAAUGUCUGCUAUAAUAAAGACUUCAGUGAAAAUGAAUAGUACAAAUACUUCACAGGAGGUUUCAAGUGCUCGGUAUAAUUCUGGAUAACUAGGCAAUCCAUACCAAGAUUCGUUUGAGGCAAAAUGUGGGGUUUUUUUCUAAUCUUUUCAAAAGCCUUUUCCAAAGUGUGUAAGAAACUUCAAUUCAAGCUGCUUUGCCGGCAUCCAAGCAAAUUAUCCUGAGUUUGAUUAUGCAGAUUUUCCUGGACUCCAAGCGAAUAUUUAUUCUUGCAAAAAAGUUAUAGAUUAUAUCAGGUUUCAGCCCUGGCUACAGAUUUCAUAGGAGUUUGGAAAUGCAAAGGACAAGGGAACACUAUCUGCAUGCCAUCAACUAAAUAGCUCCAUUUCAGAACUUGUACAACUUGCUGAAGCUUUCAGGGAUAUUUUCCUCUUCAAGAAACCUAGUUUUAAAGGACUUUCACCCUAUAGAAUCUUUUAUUUGAUUUUUACGGUCCUCUGGUUAGAUUAGUACAUGGUAUGCGACCCAGGAUGAGGCAGCUCAAUCCUUGCUAGAAGUUUCCUCACCCUAUAGUAUAUAGAAAACACCCUAUGGCACCAGAAUGGUAAGAAAGGGCAAUACUCCUCCUCUCUGCGGGUGAUGACAUUCAAAACCUGUUGUUUGUGCUGGAAAAUCGGGGUGUUACUCCUUCGCAAACACAGUCCUUGUUUCUGCAGGUCUGUUUUCUACAGUUUCUUUCCCUCUGCAGAUGGUUGAUGUUGCAGAUGGACGUGGGAGAGUCGGGCUGAGCAGGACAGCUGCUGCUUGGCAUCCCUCUUGCUACGAUCCUGAGUGUUUGUCAUUUUUACGUCGCUGCCUUUUUGUUUGGUUUGGGUUGGGUUUUUUAAACACUUUGUUCAUUGGAAAAACAAAGAGGAAGGGAGGACUGGCCAUAUGGCAAAUAAGGCUGAGCUCAAGAGAGAGAAGAAAGAAUCAGGCAAUCUGACUUUUAAUAUAAAUAUAAAUCCACGUGGGGCAAUGUAUGUAAUGCAAAAUUUAAGAUGGCAUUUUACAUUUAUACUCCUUUUUGACUUUUGAGCUGUUUACCUAUACUUCAAGCACAGACUGAAACCAUCACUGAAACAAUUACCGAGAACAAGAAGUCCACAAAAUCCAGGCAAUAUCCUUAUUUUGCGAUGGAGGAAGAGCACCUAUUUUUAGAGACAAUGCUUUGAUGUUAGGUAUAGUCUAGUUUGGUUUUGAAAACAAAGAAAGGCAACUCUACAUAACUGAUAUAUCUAUGGGAAAUUUUUAACUAAAAUUCCUAAGCGCUAAGGAAUAAUUUAAUGCCAAAAGAGUGUACUUGACUGAAAUAACUACACGUCUCAAAACCUGCUAAAAUUGUAACAGUUUAUCCUGACUUUUCAGUUCCCCCAACACAACAUGGUUUAUCUGAUACUGAUAAGCUGGAAUUGAUUCUGGACUUGUGCAAAACAAAUGAAAGUCAAUGGGAAGACUUUGGUGUGUGGUGUGGGGGAAAUUAAAGCACAACAUAAGACAAAAUCCAAGGUCUGAUUUUGGGAUCCCUAGAGAGCACACAAUUUACUCAAAUAAAACAUCUCCUUCAAUUAGUAAAGAAUAAGCGAAAAUAGCAAACAUUUUCUACUGUAUUAUUUCAAGACUGGUACAGACUAGUGGCCCAUCAUGAGUAGCUAUGAUAGCAUUCUUCCCGAUCCAUGUUUAUAGAGAAGUUUUUGGACUGAAAAUUAUUCUUUUAAGGCUGGAUUUUCCAUACAUUUACUCUUGUGAAAAAGUUAAAGCACUAUUACUCUGGAGUAUCUUACAUCCUGCCAGUCCUGAUUUUUAAAUGCAAUUUGUCAUUUACAUUCACAAUUAACUACAGGCACAAAUAUUUAAGCUGCCUGCCUUCAACUAUCAGGCACAGUAAAUAGGUAGCUAUCCCGUGUUUUUCACUG